AUUCCUACGGGAGGCAGCAGUGGGGAAUAUUGGACAAUGGGGGAAACCCUGAUCCAGCAAUGCCGCGUGUGUGAAGAAGGCCUGCGGGUUGUAAAGCACUUUCAGCAGCCAAGAAAAGCCUGAGGCUAAUACCCUCGGGUCUUGACAUUAACUGCAGAAGAAGCACCGGCUAACUACGUGCCAGCAGCCGCGGUAAUAAU
Molecule: ribosomal RNA, 200 nt
Filed under: uncultured bacterium
Lineage: Bacteria
Description: partial 16S ribosomal RNA
Rfam family: Bacterial small subunit ribosomal RNA
Source: RNAcentral